Molecule: transfer RNA, 72 nt
Filed under: Camelus bactrianus (Bactrian camel)
Lineage: Eukaryota; Metazoa; Chordata; Mammalia; Artiodactyla; Camelidae
Also listed under: 1 other name
Rfam family: tRNA
About the family: Transfer RNA (tRNA) molecules are approximately 80 nucleotides in length. Their secondary structure includes four short double-helical elements and three loops (D, anti-codon, and T loops). Further hydrogen bonds mediate the characteristic L-shaped molecular structure. tRNAs have two regions of fundamental functional importance: the anti-codon, which is responsible for specific mRNA codon recognition, and the 3' end, to which the tRNAs corresponding amino acid is attached (by aminoacyl-tRNA synthetases). tRNAs cope with the degeneracy of the genetic code in two manners: having more than one tRNA (with a specific anti-codon) for a particular amino acid; and 'wobble' base-pairing, i.e. permitting non-standard base-pairing at the 3rd anti-codon position.
Source: Rfam by way of RNAcentral
GGGUAUAUAGCUCAGCGGUAAAGCGUGUGCUUAGCAUGCAUGAGGUCCUAAGUUCAAUCCCCAGUACCUCCA